CCUCAAAGAGCACCCAGCAUAACUGUGGGAGAAUAGUAAGCAUUGGACACAAAAUGGAAAAGCUGACCUUCUGGUACGGAAGAGCAUGAGCAGUGAGUGAGCAGUGCCCAUGCGUUGUGAGGCGGCCUCCAUGGUAUAAGGUUUAGGCAAAUAAUGAUGAACAAAAAUGGUCAGUCUGUGUUCCUGCUGACCCAGCACAGUGGGGACGCUGUGUAGGACAUGACCUUUGGGGGAAAGGACACAAGAACUCAGCGUGGGGGAUCCAGAAAAGAAGUCGCACGUAUUGAAGCCAGUAACGCCAAGCCAGUGAAUUCUCCUUGACGAGAAAGACCCACUUACUCUGCAGAAGAGAUAUAUGACAGCUGACAAUCCCUGGAGGAGAAUCUUUCUACUAAAUUGGUAAGGGAUGCUAAGCAAAUGAUGUGGACUCAGGAAACAACGCAUUUCAUGAUAUACGGUUGCCUCUCAAGGUGAAUUCGAGACCCCUCUUGAAUUACAAAGAGUAACUCCAGGUUGAAGAACUUCUACUUAUAGGCAUCUAUUCAACGAAGACGAAUCCUGGAAUGGGGAUGGAAAUGAUGGCUCAUGUCUUAGCAAACUACCAAACUGAUCCGAGAGGACAGGGAAGUCAGUGUGGGCGGCUCUAAGGAGCCUCCCUCUCUACAGCUGCGGCUCAGAGGAUUACGGCGCUUCAUCCACAAGGCAACAUUGCACAAGUAGCUUUUGAACAAAAGUCAUGGAUACUAUUAAUGAUAUGGUAAUCCUUAAUCGAGCUACCUCCCAGUAGUGAUUAUACUGACAUGGGAAGAAUAUCUAAGUCGUGGAGGCAGCCCACAACAACACUGUGUCAUUGUUCACCCCGGGCUCGACCAGGACUAACUUUUACCAGCAUCUCUAACGUCACCUUUCCCCUGAUGCCUCCCCACAACCCCUGGCCCCAGCUCCCAUUCCCGCCCCAUCAUAGCAAAAAAGUAGCAAAGAAAACCCUGAUCCUAAAUCUUUUUCUGGAUUUUUUUUUGCAAGUUCCCACACACAUUUAGUGUCGUCUCAAAAUUCACGCUGUCAACUGUCUCUAGGAAUCAUUUCCAUCUGAGAACAGACCACACAAAGCCUCUGGAACUCUGAGAGAAUACAUUCCUGUCAUUUUAAGCCACCCAGUUUGUGGUGCUUCAUGAUGGCAGCCCUAGGAAAGUAAUACAGAGUUCUUCACCCAAAAGGAAGCACUCUGUCUCACCAACAGCCAAGGUCCUGGAUGACUGACAACCUGAGAUUGCAGACCUCCGAGAAAUUGAAGUAGGCUCUAUAAAGUCUGGGCAGCCCCGUCUUCCAAAGGCUGCUUCUCAAGUCCACACACACACUUUGGAAGGAGAAUCCUGCUCUUGGACGUGGUAUUCUUGGUGGGACAGCUACCUAUAAAAUGAAUGAG
RNAcentral lists this long non-coding RNA (1426 nucleotides) under Homo sapiens (human). RNAcentral's name for it is "HSALNT0082025". The record is from RNAcentral. Lineage: Eukaryota; Metazoa; Chordata; Mammalia; Primates; Hominidae.